This 372-nucleotide ribosomal RNA is filed under the name uncultured bacterium. RNAcentral describes it as "bacterial SSU rRNA". It matches the Rfam family "Bacterial small subunit ribosomal RNA", at positions 527 to 896 of the family's 1533-position model. The record is from RNAcentral.
GUAGGGCGCAAGCGUUAUCCGGAAUUAUUGGGCGUAAAGAGCUCGUAGGCGGUUUGUCGCGUCUGCUGUGAAAUCCCGAGGCUCAGCUUCGGGUCUGCAGUGGGUACGGGCAGACUAGAGUGCGGUAGGGGAGAUUGGAAUUCCUGGUGUAGCGGUGGAAUGCGCAGAUAUCAGGAGGAACACCGAUGGCGAAGGCAGAUCUCUGGGCCGUAACUGACGCUGAGGAGCGAAAGGGUGGGGAGCAAACAGGCUUAGAUACCCUGGUAGUCCACCCCGUAAACGUUGGGAACUAGUUGUGGGGUCCAUUCCACGGAUUCCGUGACGCAGCUAACGCAUUAAGUUCCCCGCCUGGGGAGUACGGCCGCAAGGCUA